UACAGAGGGUGCGAGCGUUGUUCGGAAUUAUUGGGCGUAAAGCGCUUGUAGGCGGCUUGUUAAGUCGCGUGUGAAAUCCCCAGGCUUAACCUGGGAAGUGCGCGCGAAACUGGCGAGCUUGAAUGCCGGAGAGGGUCGCGGAAUUCCCGGUGUAGAGGUGAAAUUCGUAGAUAUCAGGAGGAACACCUGUGGCGAAAGCGGCUCACUGGACCAUAACUGACGCUGAUGCACGAAAGCUAGGGGAGCAAACAGG
RNAcentral lists this ribosomal RNA (253 nucleotides) under uncultured bacterium. Its description in RNAcentral is "partial 16S ribosomal RNA". It matches the Rfam family "Bacterial small subunit ribosomal RNA", at positions 524 to 776 of the family's 1533-position model. The record is from RNAcentral.